RNAcentral lists this long non-coding RNA (360 nucleotides) under Cicer arietinum (chickpea). Its description in RNAcentral is "long non-coding RNA (CARI_LNC000778)". The record is from RNAcentral. Lineage: Eukaryota; Viridiplantae; Streptophyta; Magnoliopsida; Fabales; Fabaceae.
UCCGUGCUAUAUUUGAGUAGCCUCCGUGCUAUGUCGACUGGCAUACAGAGGGUGUAAUUCUAGAACGGUUUUCUACAGUGCAGUAGAACUCCGAUACAGUGAAUCUGGGCUGUUGGUUGAUACUCUGCCUUGCACAAUUUUGGGCAGUGCUUCGAAACGUCUUAAAGAGAGCGACCUAGUCCGCGACUCAUCCCAGUAAUAUUUUCGGUGGCAUAAAUUGUUUUCAAAGGUUUUCGAGUUUCAAAAACAACAGAAGUUUUCACUGACAGUUUCCGUGGUGCCGUGUGUUGUAAAUAUAUGGAUAUUGUAUUAGUAGUUUUGUUAUUUUGUUAUUGGAUUUGCAUGUGAAAUGGGUAUUUG